RNAcentral lists this long non-coding RNA (6722 nucleotides) under Brassica napus (rape). RNAcentral describes it as "long non-coding RNA (BNAP_LNC007976)". The record is from RNAcentral. Lineage: Eukaryota; Viridiplantae; Streptophyta; Magnoliopsida; Brassicales; Brassicaceae.
AGCGGAAACCAUCAUGCUGUUGUAGUUCUCGAUUAUCUCAAGAGUUAGAGAAACUCCUUCUCGGACAGCUGGAGGCGGAGAGAGAUCAAUCGCUACCGGUGGAGGGUAUCGUAGAAGCUUCUCCCCUCGGGUUUUAAGAAUGUCGAAGAAGGUUUUCUGUGCAGCAUCCUUAACCAUCCCAAUUGUAUUACAGAGAGCAGUGUCUCGGCCGAGUAAGUCUGAGAUCUGCAAGGUGAAGGGAACAACGCGAACUUUAGACUGCAUGAAAUAGAUAGUUAACUCCAUUCUUUGGUUACUAGAAGGCUUUGACACUUGAUAUGCUUUGCAAGUUACAUUUAUUCCAUUAAAUGGGUAUUACUAUAACUAAUUUAACGACUAUGAUUCUUGCCUCUUAGGUGUACUUAUUCUUUUAGUGCUAAGUGCUAACUAACUUUUUUUCUUUUGUAUUGUAUCAGGUUGACCUGCGAAGAGCAAAUAACUGUGAAAUAAUGCUUACGAAAAUAAAGAUUCCUCUACCAGAUAUGCUUGUAAGUUUUUGCUGUCAGUAUAUCCUCCGCUCAUUAUUUUAGCAUUGGAACAAUAAUGUAAGGUGGAUGUUUAGAGUUAACAUGUCUUUUUGUAACAUUUUACCUAGUUGAAUCUCUUUUAUAUCAUGUUUACGUGUAUACUAACCGAGAAUUUCAUAUCUAUUUCUUAUCUUAGAGCGCAGUUCUAGCCUUAGAUUCGUCAGUUCUGGACAUCGACCAGGUUGAAAAUCUCAUCAAAUUUUGUCCGACGAAGGAAGAAAUGGAAUUGUUGAGGGUAAAUCUUAAAGUUUAUUGUCAUACUUCUCUGUAGAGUACCAGGUUCAUAGGUUCUGUUUGGCUUCAAAACGCAAGUUUCUUUCAGCAAUUCCUUAAUGCCUAAAGUUAACUUGUUCUGUUUUUGUCUUCAGAAUUAUACCGGUGACAAAGAAAUGCUUGGAAAGUGUGAACAGGUUUGUUCCAGUUCUUGGAGCGUUGGAUGGUUACAUGUUUAUAAUCUGUGUUCUGACUCUUAACUUUGCAAAAUGUAUCAGUUUUUCAUGGAACUAAUGAAGGUUCCACGUAUAGAAGCAAAGUUACGAGUGUUUGGCUUUAAGAUUACCUUUGCUUCUCAGGUAUAACUAUUAAAACUUUCUGCAUUUGGUCUCUCCUGUCUUAGGCAUGUUGUGGUGAUCUUAUUUUUUUGCUCUUUUCAGGCGGAAGACUUAAAAAGCUGCCUGAAUACAAUAAACGAUGCUACUAAAGAGGUAUAGUGGAGAGUGAGAGCUUCUAAGUCAUGGAAAUAUAUCCCCAUCUUGAUAAUUAAGUAUUAUUAUUAUCAUGCAACAGGUGAAGGAGUCUGCAAAGUUGCGUCAGAUUAUGCAAACAAUUUUAACACUAGGAAAUGCUCUGAAUCAGGGAACUGCAAGAGGUUUUACCUUUAUAUUCCUAUUGAUUUCAAGUUUUUUUUAAAUGAUUUUUCUUGUAGCAUCUGUUGGUAAUGUAGUGUGCCUUUUGUGUUGCAGGGUCUGCUGUGGGUUUCAAACUGGAUAGUCUUCUUAAAUUAUCUGAUACUCGUGCAAGAAAUAACAAAAUGACUUUGAUGCAUUACUUAUGCAAGGUAGAAGCACAUACCUUUCUUAUCUCAAUAAUACUUUUUAUUCAGUUAGUUUUUUUUUUAAAGAUGAACUUAGGUAAAUUUUCUUUUUUACUGUUUAGCUUGUUGGUGAAAAAAUGCCAGAGUUGCUGGAUUUUCCCAGUGACCUUGCUCACUUGGAAGCUGCAUCGAAGGUACCCUUGUUAUUCAUGCUUGCAUAUGAGCUUUCCGUCUUCAUAAUGCACUUGCCUUAAUAGUUUCUAAAAAUUGCAGAUUGAUUUCAAAACGUUGGCUGAAGAAAUGCAGGCGGCAGCUAAAGGCCUUGAAAAGGUUGAUCACGAACUCAUGGCUUCAGGAAACGAUGGUGCAAUAUCUCUGGGCUUCCGAAAGGUGAGCUACAUGUUAAAAGUUGUUCUUAGUGUUGCUCAUAUGGGUUUCUUGGUUAAUUCAUAGGCUGUGAUAAGAACCAGAAGGUAUUCGUAGCUUCUAAAUGAGAUCACUUCAUGUUUUCAGGUUUUGAAGGAGUUUCUUGCUACCGCUGAAGCAGAAGUGAGGUUGCUUGCUUCCUUAUAUACAGAAUCGGUGAGUUACUUGUACUCUUUGAGGACAUGCAGUUCGAAACUCAUGUUCCAGUCCUAAUAUUGAUUUGUUAUUUUGCAGGGAAGAAAUGCAGAUUCCUUGUGCCACUACUUUGGUGAGGAUCCAAAUAGAUGUCCUUUCGAACAAGGUACAUGCACCAAGUCUAUUCUUAUAGAUUGGUUAAAGCCAUUAUGUGUUAAAUGCAACUACUCAUUUCUAUUCUGACCAUUGUUCCUAUCUGCAGUGACCAAGAUUCUGGCUCUUUUCAUGAAAACUUUCAUCAAAUCACGAGAGGAGAAUGAGAAACAAGCGGAGGCUGACAAGAAGAAGCUGGAGAAAGAUACAAUGAAGGAGAAGCCAAUGUUAAAGAAAGACGGUGCUGAUCCAUAGACAUAGAACGUGAACAGAGGUCGGUCUUUAAAGAAAGACCGGAGUGUUUCAGAUCGAUGAAAGCUUUGUUUUAUAGUACACAAUGUUGCACAUAACAAUCAAGAAGCAGAGAUCUUUCGUAGAUCGUAGAAAAAGUAGACAGCUUCUAUGAUGUUUAUAUGGAAGUGUAAACUCUCUUUGAUCAUCACUUCGUUGAUGUAAAAUCAGAGGUUCUUGUCAAUGUUGUAGAAGAUAUUUGAAUUUUUAUAGAACCCACUCAAAGUUAUUAUCUUUAACUGUGCAGAUAAAAACAAUUUCUGUUCAGAGAGUAAUAAAUUUUUACAUUCUACUUGUCUGCAUAAACAUAAUGCAGAGAAAUAAUCAGAAGCAGUGACCUUGUUCCAACAAAUUCUACAUCAUUUGUUCUAACACAAGAUUUUUGCUUCUUCUUCUUUAAGCAUGUCUAGUUGUUUAUUUCAGUUUUGCAAAGAUGAGGACUCAAGACAGAGUAGGGGAAAGCUCAUCUAGAGGAGCAGAUGGUUAGUCGAGAGGUUUUGUUCUCUUCGUUACCAUCAAUUUCAAUCCUUCUGUGUUGUGUAUCCUAUUAGUCAUUUUCACCUGUCCAUCCACAAAACAAAUAAAGAACUAUUCGUUGAUGAUUUUUUUGGUUUGCAUGUGAAGUCUUAUCUUAAUUCAGUUUUGAAAUCAUUGAUCUGUAUUGAGAGAAAAUAGGAAUGGUGGUAGCUGAUAAGACUACCGAAGGAGCUCCUGGUGCAGUCUGAAAGUUAAAUCUUCGAAUAAGCAUUUCAAUUGCCACCACCACAUUCUACAAAACAGAGAUUUAUGUUACUGUAAGACAUUGAAGCAGGUACUCUCAUAUGUAACAAGUAUUGAUUGAUGUCAAUUGUGUCUUUACCUCAAAAGAAGCAAACGUCUCGCUUAUGCAUUUCCCCGGCCCUCCACCAAACGGCAAGUAACUGGAGAAGCAAAGUUUACCCAUAUAAUCAACUCUAAUGAAUCUGAGAAGUUGCAAGCAAAAGAUGGGCUUAUUACCUGACGUUUUGGUUUGUCUCAUUUUGGGUUUGGUCCAUCUAGAGGCCAUCUCUCAGGAUUGAACUCGUCUGCGUCAUCCCAAUGAAGAUAUCCUCUCUCAUAUUAGUUCCAAUCACAAUCUUUUCUCAAAACUAGUAAGUUGCAUUCUUGAAUGCAGACAAAUUAAAACCACAAUGUUGAAGUUUCUGUGACCUUUUUAUGGGAUACUCUCCAAGAAUGUCGUUCUCUAGAUGAUAUCCAUAACCACCGGUACUAAUCCGUCGUUCUCUGAUCCGUCUGUCUAGAGAACGAUGAUCUCAGGACUGGUGGUUGUGGAUAUCAUCUCAAUGACUGCACAACAUCAAAACAAAACAGGUGUCCCUAGACUUCUAUAGAAUGAUUUAAGAUACAGCAGACUCGAAAUUUCCAAACCUAAACAUUUUUUUAACUAUAGAAGAAGAAGAUGAGGACAUGUAAUGAAUGCCUUUAACCUAAUCCAUACCUAAAAUGAUUUUUAAUGUGAAAUACUUAUAAUAUUUUAUAUGGCUAUGAUUUCUAACAUUUUAAUAAUAUAAAUUAGAUUUUGAUACAACGCAUGUGUGUUUUCAAAUUAAAUAAAUGUUUGUUUAAUAAAUUUUUAUAUAAAAUAUUGUAUAGGUUUAGGCGCAUUUAACCGAAACCGAAAACUGAACUGUACCAAAAUGAAAAAAUCAAAACCAAAAUUAAAUUGAAUUUCAUAAAUAAUCGAACAAAUCAUAUAUUUCUGGAACCAAAAAAAUGAGACUGAACUGAAAACCAAAUGGAUACCUAAAAAUUUAAAAUACAAAAUAUAUACUUACAAAUAUUAAUUAUAUUCAAUUUUUAAAAUAAUCAAAUAUCGUAAAAAUACUAUUUAUGAACCGAAUUACCCCGAAAAAAACAAAUUACCCAAAUAUUUUUUAUUCAAAAUAUUAAAAUUAUCCAAACUAUCCGGUGUUUUUAUCCAAACAAUCCGAAUUACCCUAUAUUUAAACUAAAAAGGCCAAAUUGUCUGAUAUUUUUAUCUAUAAAUCUGUAAUUACCCGUAAAUCGAUGGGUGAUAUAAUAUGCAAUUCAAAUCGAAUUAAAUUUUUAUAUUUAGAGUACUCUAAUAUAUAUUCAUAGAUAUUUAGAUGAAUAGUGGAGAUAUUUUGGACACGAUGCUCCAAUUUUUCAAAAGUUAGCUAUACAAAUUUUUAAUGAAACUAAUUUUUUAUCUAGUUGUAAGCGUAGUGGAUCAAUAUUCGAAAGGAUGCAUACUAAAAAAAAAUAGAUUUAAGCAUUAAUUAUUCAUAUAUGUCUAUUACAAUUUACAUUUACAAAAAAUAUAAUUGUUUGUUUGUUUAGUUUAUUUUUGUUGUUGACAUGUUAUUAGAAUCCUUUUGAUGUUUUGUUUUUGGUUUAUUUUAAAUUUUAAAUUUUAAAUGUAAUUUCAUUAUUCACAUUAAACAUUUAAAUAUUUAUUAAUUUUAAUUUUUUUGUAUUAUUUUAUUAUGUCCAAUUCCUAAUUUGUUACAAUUUGGUAUGUAUAAUUGUAUUCUAAAACUAAUUAAAAUAUCGAUUCAGUGACCCAGUAACUCAUAAAAUAAUCCGAUUCAGUGUCUGGAUAGGGUUUCACUGGUUUUAGAUCAAAGCCAUCAGAGCUUCUCCAUGCAAUCGGUAUGAAAGUAUAUGAUACACUCUUGCGUGAAAUCAAGCUGAAUCCCAUCUUUACAUUUAAGAAAACAAUUAGGUGGACGAUGGCAGCACACAUGUGCACGCAGUAAUAUAAUUUUUAGUUUUGAUAUUUACAUUUUUAUGAUUAUAACAUUUGUAGUUCAACAUUUUUGAAUCUUUCUAAACAUUAUUACUUUUCAACCAUUAUAGAUUGAUGUUUAAAUUUAUCUUAUUAUGUAUGCAAUAAAUAAUUCAUGCAUGUUUAUAUGUAGUACUCAGAAAUUGAUAAACUUUAUAUGAAAAUACAACAUUUGAAGUCCGGUUUAUAAGUAUUGAUUUCGUAAGAUAACAAGAAAAAACCAGGAAAAAACAAAAAUAGUCGGGUAGAAGAAGUUUGCAUUUCAUAUACCGAGAAUGGUUCGGAUCUGAUCCAGUGGAUGUCGAGCGAGGGAUUUCGGAUCUGGAUACCCGUUUUGUUGAUCCGUUACGGCUCGGUAUAUAACUUCAUAAUCUUCAGCUAACGUUUUGGCCACCCGCACGCAAGCUUCGGACCUGAGUUUAGGGACUUGUAUCUGCUCGAACUCAGGAAGAGUGCCUUCGCUUCCCAAAACGAGGCCGAAGAAGGCCUUGAGGCAUUCUGACAGCACUGCGGGUGAUGUCUCCUGUCGUCCAGACAAAGCAAGUUCGGUUGUGGUGUAAGAGCGGAAGAUUUGCAUUUUGUCUGAAAGACCGCAUCUUUGGAGGAGCGUGUCGACUUCUUUCUGGACCAGGAGGUUUAUGUGGUUCUCGAUCAUUGAUCCGAUGUUAGUUACGUACUGUGACGCCACAUCGUGUCUUAGCAACGGUUGUUGGAUGGCGCAUAAACAGUUGAUGAGGAAUAUCUUCGAGGGUGUUUCAUUGUUCUGUAAGAACGAGAUAAAUCUUGAGAGAGGUCUUUUCGAGUUAAAAGGAAUGUAACGGAUUAUAUAUAUACCUGUGGUGGGGACGAGCUGCUAGAGAGUAGAGCAUCUACUGAUGUUAACUGGCUUGAGUCGGAACUUGUUCGGCUUCGUCUGGUUAAUUGGCCGCUCAUUUUCGAUUUGUGCGCCUCAGCUGCUUGCUCACACAUCUGUGGAGUUUCAGAAAAGUUCAAGAAUUUAUCUUCAAUGCACAAUCAUGGCUUUUGAUGGACAAAUGAUUUAUACCUUAAUGAUAGGGUCGAGCAGUGCAGAGAGGACGGGAUCAAAUGCCGGUUUCUCUCCUGAAGCGGAAACCAUCAUGCUAUUGUAGUUCUCGAUUAUCUCAAGAGUUAGAGAAACUCCUUCUCGGACAGCUGGAGGCGGAGAGAGAUCAAUAGCUACCGGUGGAGGGUAUCGUAGAAGCUUCUCCCCUCGGGUUUUAAGAAUGUCGAAGAAGGUUUUCUGUGCAGCAUCCUUAACCAUCCCAAUUGUAUUACAGAGAGCAGUGUCUCGCCCGAGUAAGUCUGAGAU